AUUAAUUUACACCAAUCAGCGCCAGGGAAUUACGAGCCAUGCUUAAAACCCAAAGGACUUGACGGUGUCCCACCCCCCUAGAGGAGCCUGUUCUAUAAUCGAUAAUCCCCGCUAUACCCUACCAUUCCUCGCCUCAGUCUGUAUACCUCCGUCGAAAGCCUACCCUGUGAACGUCCAGUAAGCCCAAUGACCCCCCUCAACACGUCAGGUCAAGGUGCAGCUCACGGAAUGGAAAGUAAUGGGCUACAAUUUCUAACAUAGAACAAACGAAAGGCCAUGUGAAACCAUAGUCACGAAGGUGGAUCUAGCAGUAAAAAGAAAAUAGAGUGUUCUUUUUAACCCGGCUCUGGGACGCGUACACACCGCCCGUCACCCUCUUCGAUAGCUUUACUUCACGUUUAUAACCCUUUAUCCGCACCUUAGAAGAGGCAAGUCGUAACACGGUAAGUGUACUGGAAAGUGCACUUGGAUUACAACAAAAUAUAGCUUAACGAAAGCCCCUCGCUUACACCGAGAAAAUGUCUGUUUAACCCAAACUAUUUUGAGCCCAAAAUCUAGCCCAUUUAACUCACAUGACCCCCUUAACCAACUGUCUUAUAAACAAAACAUUUUAACAUUUUAGUACAGGUGAUCGAAAAAUUUCUAAGCGCUUCAGAUAAAGUACCGCAAGGGAAUAAUGAAAUAGAAAUGAAAUAACCUUAAAGCCUUAAAUAGCAGAG
This 719-nucleotide ribosomal RNA is filed under the name Amolops lifanensis (Lifan torrent frog). Its description in RNAcentral is "partial 12S ribosomal RNA". The stretch from base 1 to 481 matches the Rfam family "Bacterial small subunit ribosomal RNA", at positions 848 to 1533 of the family's 1533-position model. Lineage: Eukaryota; Metazoa; Chordata; Amphibia; Anura; Ranidae. The record is from RNAcentral.